UACAGAGGUCUCAAGCGUUGUUCGGAAUUACUGGGCGUAAAGCGUGCGCAGGCGGUUGUGUAAGACAGAUGUGAAAUCCCCGGGCUCAACCUGGGAACUGCAUUUGUGACUGCACAGCUGGAGUGCGGCAGAGGGGGAUGGAAUUCCGCGUGUAGCAGUGAAAUGCGUAGAUAUGCGGAGGAACACCGAUGGCGAAGGCAAUCCCCUGGGCCUGCACUGACGCUCAUGCACGAAAGCGUGGGGAGCAAACAGG
Molecule: ribosomal RNA, 253 nt
Filed under: uncultured bacterium
Lineage: Bacteria
Description: partial 16S ribosomal RNA
Rfam family: Bacterial small subunit ribosomal RNA
Source: RNAcentral